UGUAGUUCAUUGGUAGAACGUUUGCCUAGCAUGCAGAAGACCCUGGGUUCAAUCCCCAGCA
Molecule: transfer RNA, 61 nt
Filed under: Ictidomys tridecemlineatus (thirteen-lined ground squirrel)
Lineage: Eukaryota; Metazoa; Chordata; Mammalia; Rodentia; Sciuridae
Description: Spermophilus tridecemlineatus (thirteen-lined ground squirrel) tRNA
Rfam family: tRNA
About the family: Transfer RNA (tRNA) molecules are approximately 80 nucleotides in length. Their secondary structure includes four short double-helical elements and three loops (D, anti-codon, and T loops). Further hydrogen bonds mediate the characteristic L-shaped molecular structure. tRNAs have two regions of fundamental functional importance: the anti-codon, which is responsible for specific mRNA codon recognition, and the 3' end, to which the tRNAs corresponding amino acid is attached (by aminoacyl-tRNA synthetases). tRNAs cope with the degeneracy of the genetic code in two manners: having more than one tRNA (with a specific anti-codon) for a particular amino acid; and 'wobble' base-pairing, i.e. permitting non-standard base-pairing at the 3rd anti-codon position.
Source: Rfam by way of RNAcentral